RNAcentral lists this transfer RNA (77 nucleotides) under Acidimicrobiaceae bacterium. RNAcentral's name for it is "tRNA-Arg". It matches the Rfam family "tRNA". From Rfam's summary of the family: Transfer RNA (tRNA) molecules are approximately 80 nucleotides in length. Their secondary structure includes four short double-helical elements and three loops (D, anti-codon, and T loops). Further hydrogen bonds mediate the characteristic L-shaped molecular structure. tRNAs have two regions of fundamental functional importance: the anti-codon, which is responsible for specific mRNA codon recognition, and the 3' end, to which the tRNAs corresponding amino acid is attached (by aminoacyl-tRNA synthetases). tRNAs cope with the degeneracy of the genetic code in two manners: having more than one tRNA (with a specific anti-codon) for a particular amino acid; and 'wobble' base-pairing, i.e. permitting non-standard base-pairing at the 3rd anti-codon position. Lineage: Bacteria; Bacillati; Actinomycetota; Acidimicrobiia; Acidimicrobiales; Acidimicrobiaceae. The record is from RNAcentral.
GCCCCUGUAGCUCAACUGGAUAGAGCAUCGGGUUUCUACCCCGACGGUUGCAGGUUCGAGUCCUGUCAGGGGUACGA